AAGUGUUUAAAGCAGGCUCACGCUUGAAUACAUUAGCAUGGAAUAAUGAAAUAGGAUGUUUGAUUCUAUUUUGUUGGUUUCUAGGAUCGACGUAAUGAUUAAUAGGGAUAGUUGGGGGCAUUAGUAUUCAAUUGUCAGAGGUGAAAUUCUUUGGAUUUAUUGAAGACUAACUACUGCGAAAGCAUUUGCCAAGGAUGUUUUCAUUAAUCAAGAACGAAAGUUAGGGGAUCGAAGACGAUCAGAUACCGUCGUAGUCUUAACCAUAAACUAUGCCGACUAGGGAUCGGAUGAUGUUAAUUUUUUAAUGACUCAUUCGGCGCCUUACG
RNAcentral lists this ribosomal RNA (326 nucleotides) under uncultured Glomus. RNAcentral's name for it is "SSU rRNA". It matches the Rfam family "Eukaryotic small subunit ribosomal RNA", at positions 769 to 1092 of the family's 1831-position model. Lineage: Eukaryota; Fungi; Glomeromycota; Glomeromycetes; Glomerales; Glomeraceae. The record is from RNAcentral.